Molecule: non-coding RNA, 333 nt
Organism: Salmo salar (Atlantic salmon)
Lineage: Eukaryota; Metazoa; Chordata; Actinopteri; Salmoniformes; Salmonidae
Source: RefSeq, a predicted model, not a curated record
GCUGGAGCCAAGACCCAUGGUUCACCUCACACUACCCCAGGUCGAGUGCACUUGCUCUGGAAGUUCAGUCCUGGAGGUCAGCUGGAUAGUUUGUGUGUGUACUUUGGGUGGCAGUCCUGUCUCUAUACCUUUCAUGCAGUCUUCAAGCCUGCGGAUGAGCUGGUAGGACUUGCAGCGGUCCAACAAGGUCCUAAUGGCGGGCAGCGGGUCCAGAACCACCAUUUCAGGAUGGGUGUCGAUGUAAUCCUGAAGACAGUCCCAAAACAACAUCAGGACCUGAGCCCUAGGACCAUGCCUCAGGACUACCUGGUAUGAUGACUCCUUGCUGUCCCC